Molecule: small nuclear RNA, 18 nt
Filed under: Arabidopsis thaliana (thale cress)
Lineage: Eukaryota; Viridiplantae; Streptophyta; Magnoliopsida; Brassicales; Brassicaceae
Description: snRNA_01124
Source: RNAcentral
GCGGGGUAAAGCCAGAGG